GACAGAGGGGGCAAGCGUUGCUCGGAUUUACUGGGCGUAAAGGGCGCGUAGGCGGCCCUCCUUGUCGCGGGUGAAAGCCCCGGGCUCAACCUGGGAAUUGCGCGCGAAACGGGGGGGCUUGAGUUCGGGAGAGGAGCGUGGAAUUCCCAGUGUAGAGGUGAAAUUCGUAGAUAUUGGGAAGAACACCGGUGGCGAAGGCGGCGCUCUGGACCGAGACUGACGCUGAGGCGCGAAAGCGUGGGGAGCAAACAGG
Molecule: ribosomal RNA, 253 nt
Filed under: uncultured bacterium
Lineage: Bacteria
Description: partial 16S ribosomal RNA
Rfam family: Bacterial small subunit ribosomal RNA
Source: RNAcentral